GCUCUGUCAGACACCAAAACCUUCCCCACGACCCUCAGCUGUAGGACUUUACAAAUUGUACCCAAGCAGCAAGUGCUUUGAGCUUGUACCCAUUUCCUCUAGGAACUGAGGGGAGCCUAGAACUAGUGAGAACCCGAGUGUCCUGCCUGCUCUACUGUGUUUUUGCUGUGCAAGAUGCCUCUGUUCUGUUCUAAAGGAGUAUCAAUUGCACUGAGCUUGCCAAAGUUCUCCUAUCUGGUAAGAAUGAAAGGAGGAAGAGAGAAACUUCAAAACGUUUAAAGGCUUGCUGAAAACAGAGCCCAGUGCACAGGUACUAAACCUGCAAUGGCCCCAGCCUGAUCCUGAGGAUCAGGCACAAAUCCAGGGUCACAACAGUGCCUCACCAAGUGUUUGCUUCCUUCUUGAAUCCAUACAGCGAGUCGGCCCUGGCUAGGUGAAUACAGUCAGGGAAAUAGCACAGUGCCCGAGAUGCAUCCUGGCUUCAUAUAUUCAGUAUGAUUGCAUUAUAUUCAUAAUUUCACUAUGAUCUUUGUUUCUGCUGGUUUCCAUUUGGAAUGGCAUUUUUGGAAAGGCAAUUUUGAGAAGAAAUAAAAAUAGAAAGCUUUAAAAAAAAAA
Long non-coding RNA from Anas platyrhynchos (mallard), 615 nucleotides. RefSeq lists it as uncharacterized. The record is from RefSeq and is a predicted model, not a curated record. Lineage: Eukaryota; Metazoa; Chordata; Aves; Anseriformes; Anatidae.